UCUAUUUUCAGCUUGCAUCGAGAUCACCUGGAGGGCUUGUUAAAGCCCAUAUUGCCAGGCUCCACCCAGAGUUUCUGCUACUGUAAGUCCUAGAAAGGGCCUGAGACUUUGCCUUUCUAACAAGUGAUGCUGAUACUGUUGGUCCAGAAGUGCACCUAAAGAAGCCCUGCACUGAUGUAGGAUCACACUCCAUGAUGCUCUGAGAAAUGUCCUUUGUAGCCAAGGCCAAAGGCUAUGAUUGCAGAGGAAUGGUCCUUAAGAUUUUUCAAGUAUGCAUUAACAGCCCCAUUCCAAGCUAAACUGGUUCAUCAAAAACACAUUCAAACGCCCCAAGUCCUUAUUGAGACAUAUGGUGUAAUGAUCAGAUUAUUUUCUGUUGCAAAACUGACAAAUAAAACUCAUACGUCUUGAUGCAGUAUAAGUAAUUUAUUGUCUAAAGUAAUUGGGAAAUCCAAGACAGGUGGUUUCGAGGCACAGCACAAUAUGGUCCGAGAUUGCACUCGUGUCUCCUGCAACAGACGACUCUUCAAGAGGCAAAAGAGAAGACAUCUCACAGCUCAUGAUCCACCGGGAACAGAGCACUGUCUCCCGGUAUCCUCGAAUGAAAUCACACUGAAGGUCUAUGUUGGCCAUACUGGUAACGCCCAUAUUUUAGACCAAUCACUGAACAGAGUGAGCAGGCACAGGAUUGGCCAGCCCUUGGUCACAUGUUCAUAUAGUGGCUGCGAGAAAAUUGAUGGCUUUGCAUGAAGGUGCCCCUGAAGUAUAUGCAGGGGUAGUCGGCACCACGACAGGAAAACAUAGUAUCUAACAAAGAAGACUGUGUGUUGAAAUGGAGAUUAAAUGCCUGGGAUGUAGAGAGAAGAGUAUGAGUGCUGAAGACACGGAACUGAAACCAGAAGAGCAGUGGACUCCAGUUCCAGUGAUUUCAAACCUGCACAAGUCCUUACCCCAGCACCCUCGGACAAAACUCUUAUCACAAAACAGUCUUUCACUUUGUUUGGUGAUGCCCUGUUCCUGUCGCCAUGGAGCCUCCUCUUGCCUGGAAUUCUGCAUCCUGCUGCUGGCAUCCCAGAACUAGUUAACACAUAAGCCUUCAUCACAUACCACGUACUUAAUGUAUUAUUGAAGAAAUAAGUGGCAAAAAAGAAGGACCCAACUGACUGAAAUUUGGGUAUGUUAUCAGAAAUGGAACUACUGGAUCUACUUUUAACUUUUCAAGGACCCUUCAUACUGUUUUCCAUAGUAGCUGCGCCAGUCUACAGUCCUACCAAGAAUGCUCAAGAGUUACCUUUCCUCCACAUCCUCAAGGAGCUGCAGGAGACACAGGUUCAAUCUCUGGAUCGGGAAGAUCCCCUGGAGGAGGAAAUGGCAACCCACACCAGUAUUCUUGCAUGGAAAAUCCCAUAAACAGAGGAGGCUGGCAUGCUAUAGUCCAUGGGGUCGCAAAGAGUCAGACAUGACUGAGUGAGCACACACAUGGUCAAGAACAAGGACUCUGAGGGCAGAGACUACAUCUUGGUCAAUUUUUGUAAUCUUAGUACCAAGCACAGCCAUCAGGAAAUCUUUUUUAAGUGUGUGUGUGUGUGUGUUUUAUUGUGAUAAAAGUCACGUAAUAGAAACAUACUAUUUUAACCAUAUUUAACUGUUCAGUUCUGUGGCACUAAGUACAUUCACAUAAUUGUGGAACUCUCACAAUCAUCCAUCUCUCAGAUUUUUCACCUUCCUAAACUGAAACUCUGUUUCGAUUAUGAAGUAACUACCCAGUCACCCGCCCCACUUCCCCCCACCCCCUGGCAUCUACUUUCUGACUCUCUGAAUUUAACUAUUCUAGGUAUUUUGUUUAAGUGAAAUCAAACCAUAUUUAUCUGUACCUAACGUAUAUUGGACAGAGAAGGCAAUGGCACCCCACUCCAGUACUCUUGCCUGGAAAAUCCCAUGGACGGAGGAGCCUGGUGGGCUGCAGUCCAUGGGGUCGCGAAGAGUCGGACACGACUGAGCGACUUC
This is a long non-coding RNA of Bubalus bubalis (water buffalo), 2007 nucleotides long. RefSeq lists it as uncharacterized. The record is from RefSeq and is a predicted model, not a curated record. Lineage: Eukaryota; Metazoa; Chordata; Mammalia; Artiodactyla; Bovidae. The transcript is spliced from 3 exons.